UUCAUACCAGUCCAUAAUCUUCAAAAAUAAAUAAAUAAAGUGCAAAGGGCAUCAUGCUAACUAAAGGGACUAACGAGAAAAAUAUAACAAUCAUAUAAAGAUGUAUAAGAAUUAAGUUAUUAAUAUAAAAAUUUCCAAUCCGACAAAUCUAUCCAAGUGUCUGCUCAUGUUGUGCAUCAAAAAUAUGUUCUUGGGCUUUCUGUACACAUGAGAAGAUAUGCAAGUAACAACCCUUUGCAUCUGCAGGCUAGUUAUCUUUCAGUUUUACCGAGUUCUAGUAUCCAAAAUAUGCCUGGAGAAAUUAAGAUGAGCAGCAAGUGUUACUUUGAUUGACAGGUUUUCCGCGGAUGGGCACUGUAGUGGGUCUAGCAGCAGGAGUGGCUGCUGGCUGACUAGACAUCCUUUUCUUUAUAUCUGCAGCCAUGGUCAUGAACGCAUCCUCUACAUUGGUAGCAUUCUUGGCACUAGUUUCCAAGAAUGGAAUACCAAUUUCUUCUGCAAAAGCCUUGGCAGUUUCUUUGGACACCACCCUCUUUGAGGUUAUAUCACAUUUAUUACCAACCAAGAGCUUAUUAACAUUAUCUGUUGCAAACUUAUCAAUUUCUUUCAGCCAUGUUUUGACAUUUUUGAAGCUUUCUUCAUCUGUGACAUCAAAGACAAUAAUAAUUCCAUGUGCACCCCGGUAGUAGCUGCUCGUAAUCGUACGAAAUCGUUCUUGACCAGCAGUAUCCCACUACGCGGAGAAUACGGAGAAUCAAUAACUGUACAUAAUUUCUUGAACAAAAAGUAGACUGUGGAAUACUUACAAUUUGAAGUUUAAUGGUCUUUCCAUCUUGCUCGACUGUGCGGAUUUUCUAAGUAAUAACAGUAAAUAUUUGUGAAGACAACAUAAAUUGUUACAGCCCUGACUGAUAGAAAAUAAUAAUGUUGCCAUACUUACAAAGUCAACACCAAUAGUACUAAUGUAGCUUUCAACGUAAGAAUCGUCCGCAAAUCUCAGCAGAAGGCAUGACUUGCCAACUCCAGAAUCCCCAAUGAGCAAUAUCUUGAACAGGUAGUCAUAUUCAGGCAUCAUGGUUGAUCCUAGGAAGGGACUGCUAUUAAAACCUGGACGUAUUUUAAUCGGCAAAGAUUUCUCAGAGAGGUUGCGGAGAGAGAGAAAGGAGGAGCAGAGAAAUGCUUAGUUUCUGGUAUAAAUAGUUAAGAGGAAGAGCCAACCAUAACUAGACUUUCGUGAUAUUGAAU
This 1245-nucleotide unclassified non-coding RNA is filed under the name Hevea brasiliensis (rubber tree). The record is from RNAcentral. Lineage: Eukaryota; Viridiplantae; Streptophyta; Magnoliopsida; Malpighiales; Euphorbiaceae.